AUCUAUGGCCAUACCACCCUGAAUGUGCCCAAUCUCGUCUGAUCUUGGAAGCUAAGCAGGGUCGGGCUUGGUUAGUACUUGGAUGGGGGGAAAAGGCAAGUUUUUGAAU
RNAcentral lists this ribosomal RNA (109 nucleotides) under Vulpes vulpes (red fox). Lineage: Eukaryota; Metazoa; Chordata; Mammalia; Carnivora; Canidae. The record is from RNAcentral.